This 252-nucleotide ribosomal RNA is filed under the name uncultured bacterium. Its description in RNAcentral is "partial 16S ribosomal RNA". It matches the Rfam family "Bacterial small subunit ribosomal RNA", at positions 524 to 776 of the family's 1533-position model. The record is from RNAcentral.
UACGGAGGAUGCGAGCGUUAUCCGGAUUUAUUGGGUUUAAAGGGUGCGCAGGCGGUCUGUUAAGUCAGCGGUCAAAGCCCGGGGCUCAACCCCGGCCCGCCGUUGAAACUGGCAGUCUCGAGUUGGAGAGAAGUAUGCGGAAUGCGUGGUGUAGCGGUGAAAUGCAUAGAUAUCACGCAGAACUCCGAUUGCGAAGGCAGCGUGCCGGCAUCCAACUGACGCUGAGGCACGAAAGCGUGGGGAUCAAACAGG